UUCAACCUGGAGAAACUCAGACGUAGAAAAGACGAUUAAAGAGUUUAAUGGCAAGAAUGAACAACAAUUCUUUGAAAAUGAAUAACAGUUCUUUGGCGCUCGGGCCCCGGCAGAAGAUUUGAGCUAUUAUUUGCUAAGAACUCGGGUGUACAUCCCCGACGCUGAUUAGGGAUACUCUUCCCCCCAGGGCCAGACACUGGUGGUGGAGGUCGGAAAAGGAUGACGUCUUGGAGAGCUGAAUGAUGCUGGUGGAGGUGGGUUGAGCACGGCUGGAGAGCAGCUGGCGGCGUGGGGGUGGAUGCAUAUAAGCGGAGCUUGAUUGAUGAUUGAGCUCCGGUCGAGGUCCGGCGCUCAGGUUGGAGGCGGCGAACAUGACGCAGCGAUUGGGUGGAGCAGAGCUUCCUGAUGCAGGAGGAGGAUUCGGACUUUUGGACGCCUGCAGUCACUCCGCAGUGGAAACGUUUCUCAGGAUGUCGGCAGAAUGGAAAUCCAAGCAGAAACCGAWUGGAUCAGAUGGAAAAGCAGAGCUGCUCCCGAUCCACCAUUUAACUGUUUCCAACAGAAGUUUUUUGGGUUUUUUCACCCAGUCAGAUGCAAACAGCUCUGAUCUUGGAGAAUGCAACACUUUUAUUUUGCUCAGGCUGUAAACUGCAUAAACACAUACUGUAUGUGGGUGAAUUUUCCACUAAAUGCAUGCAUAAUGAUUUAUUAACAUGUGAGAAAUGUCAUGUCUGUGCAGAGAGGCAGUGUUUACUCAGUGGAGUUAUUUUAAGAGCAAAUCUCCCAGAAUGCAUCAAGGCCUGAAAGCUCUGGGUUUUCUGUUUGUGCUGCAGAACGGACUUCAGAUGUUUGUUGGUAUUUUAUUACUGACACAGAUUUUGAAGAAUUUCUAAGCACUUAUUUGAAUCAUUAAAUAAUAAUCAUAUUAUUUCACCAUGCAGAAUGCAACCUAACUCACCUCUUGGGGUUAACAGUUUCAGUCUCACUGACAGCAGCUGAAGGUGGAUUUGGUUCCAAAAACUCUUUUUUUUUUUCAGCUCAGCUGCAGCAGAAAAAAAACAUUUCUGUUUCUUUUUGCUUCUCCCGUUGAGUCGUUCCUUCUCUUCAGCCUAAUCAUGAGAUCCAGGCCGUUCCUGAUACAUGAUUUGAUUGUCCGGUUCGACCCACAGCCAGCCUGGGCUGAUUUCCCCCUUCAGAUCAAAUGAGCUGCUCAACUUCCACAGUUUCUGUUCAAAUGACAUUUAGUCCACUGCAGAAAUAUUUAUUUAAUUAAAUCGUACGUACGACCUUCCA
Molecule: non-coding RNA, 1293 nt
Organism: Poecilia reticulata (guppy)
Lineage: Eukaryota; Metazoa; Chordata; Actinopteri; Cyprinodontiformes; Poeciliidae
Source: RefSeq, a predicted model, not a curated record